AUGGAGUGUGGGAAAUGGACGCGAUGGGUAGAUGUGUGUGGCUGGGUGGGGAUAAAGGGCCGUGGCGGGCACUUGGCUGGGAUGCGUUUGUCGUCUGCGCCAUGGGUGGUCACCCCCACCGUCGGCCACAUCUUCUCCGUCGUCUUCCCCGACUCCGCCAGCUACGGCUACACGACACGCAGUGGCCGGAUCACUCUCGCUCUCAACCAGCUGGUUGUCGAGAUCUCCGAGCCGAUCCUCGAUGCCCAGGCCGUGGCCGUCCUCGACACCGCUUGGAUCCUUAUCUCCAGCCUCCCCGACAUUGCGCGGUCCGAGCUCGUCAUCCGCCAGAUGUCCCGUCUCUUGGGCAAGGUGGUGGUGGUCGAUGAGCUCUCUGUGCGCAAGGAGGAGGAGGUCCGGGUCAAGGGCUUCGACCUCAGGAUCGCCCCCGAACCCCCCAACCACGUUGGUCGCCCCCGCUCCUUCAACGUCGGCCUCCCCGGCGGCAACCCGGGGGGCGAUGGGGAUUACCACGGUCGUCACCACGCCCGCUCCCACCACUCGGAUGAGGAUGGGGCCUCGGAGGACUCCCGCUCCCCGUCCCCUUCGCCCCCUCCUCCUGCCGCGGGGGGCAAGGGCCGCCAGGCCGCGCCCAGUCUGCUCCUUGGCAGGCCCUCGGUCUCUGCAGCAUCGUCCUCCGAGGGGAGCGAGAUCUCCAGUGUUAGUAUGGUAGUCUGCCUAGCCUCUUCACCGCUCUCUCCCUCCUCACCUCCCCCCGUCGCGCGGGAUUCAGCGGACUUGUCCCUUGGUCUGCUCCCGGCUACUUCGAUGGCGCCCUCGGUGGGGCUCCGCCCCGCCUCGGCUGCUCCGGGCCCGCUCCUCUGGCCUCUCCAGCGGCGACUCUACCCGUGGAGGGGGAGGCUAGGGUAUCCACGCCCAUGGCUGCCCAGCCCCCCUCGGUCCGCCGCCUACUCUCGUCACGGCCGGUCGGUCUCCUCUCCGGUGAUUGCAUCCCGUCGGAGUGCUCGACUGGAUGCUGCUCACCCUGAGGGCAGCCCGACUCUGCCCAUCCCCGAGCGGGUGGAGCUCCGCGCUGCUGCCCGUAACUUGGAGCCAGGUACGCCUUCCGUUCCCCCCUCUGCUUCGUCCUGUUCCUUCUCUGCGCUUGAGUCCAUUCCUCUAGGCAACCUCGCUAAGGUAGCCUUUGACUCCGCAAUCAUUUUUAGAGUGGAAGCUGGCCCCCCUUUAGCCCAGAUCGCGGCUAUUAGAGCUCGCGAGAUUCUUGAUGGGAGACUCGCGGAGGCCCGUGCGGCCUUCCUCCUGCCUCUGGCCCCUCCUGCGGCUGGUGUGCCCCCCCCCCUCGUCCAUGUUGCGGCUGAUGGCUCCUCCCCCCUUCCCCCCCGUGGUGGGGGAGGAGAUCUGUGGUCGCACUCAUUCCCGCACGGCGGCUCUCCGUGCGCAAAGCACCUCUCGUGUCCUGGGUCAAAGCCCCCCAAUGGCGCCUUGAUGCGGGCUCUAUUCUGGAACAUCCGCGGUUUCGGCCAUGAUGGUCGACGCCGCCAACUAGUGGAAUACAUGCGAGAUGAGCAUAUUGACAUAGUAGUCGUUCAAGAAACCAUGCGUCUCGAUUUCUCGCUCCCCGAGCUUGACCGUCUGAGCUCUCACCUCUUUGCGUGGCAUUGGCUCCCUUCUAGUGGGAGCGCAGGUCACUCGGGUGGCAUCCUUUUAGGUGUGAAGGAUGCCACCUUCGAGGUGGGUAGCAUGGAUCGGGGAGAAUUCUUUGUGAGCAUGGAGAUGUUCGAGAGAUCUCUCAACUUCAAGUGGGAGGUCAUCAUCGUCUACGGGCCUACCGACCAUAGUAGGUCGGCCGCCUUCCUUGAGGAACUCCACCGGAAGAUCUCUGCAGCCUCCCUUCCUGUGGUAGUGGGUGGCGAUUUUAACCUCCUGCGCACGUCGGAAGACAAGAGCAAUGAUAAUGUCUGCUUUGCGCGGAUGCAAAUGUUCAAUGAUUUCAUUGCUGACCUUGGUCUCUGUGAGAUCGAUAGGAUUGGUGCCAGGUUCACCUGGACCAAUUGGCAAGCCUCCCCGACCCAGUUCGUCUUGGACCGGGUCUUAGUGUCCCCGGAUUGGGACCUCCAUUGCCCCUUGGCCUCCCUCCACGCCAUCACUCGGAUUGGCUCGGAUCAUGCCCCCUGCUUCUCUCCUCUGCUGAUGAGCGCCUGCCGGUCACCCCCCGUUUCUGUUUUGAGACUUUCUGGCUCUCCCAGGCUGGGUUUACCGACGCCGUCUGCGCUCGGUGGAUCAAGGCCCGUGCCCACCCUCACCCUCACCCCCCCUUCGGCCAUUGAUGCGUGGCACUUCUGUGCGAAACGCAGAAGGCAAUUCAUGAAGGGAUGGGGUGCGAAUUUGGGUCGGGACUUACGGGAGUGCAAGAAGGUUCUGUUAUCCGCGAUUCAGGCCCUCGACCUGCAUGCUGACGCGGUGGGUCUAUCUCCAGACGAGUGGCUUUCUCGAUUUGACCUUGAAGACCAGCUCUCAGUGAUCUACACCGAUGAGGAGGCCUAUUGGCGCCUCCGUGGGGCCCAGAAAUGGGUCUUGAAGGGCGAUGCGAAUACGGCAUACUUCCAGACAUCGCCAACGGCCGCCGUAGACGCAACACCAUCCCCCUCUUAUGGGAUGGUGAGACGCUCCUUCAAGACCCUCGCGACAUUCGUGCUCACGUCGACGUUGGUGUCUGUCUUGAAGAACGCGGCCCUGACGGCCCCCUUCUCUGAGCAUGAGGUAUGGGAGGCCAUCAAGGGCAUGAACCCAUCCUCGGCGCCGGGGCCGGACGGCCUCCCGGUCAAAUUUUUCCAGACCUUCUGGAACAUGAUUAAACCGGAGCUUCUCUCGGUCCUCCGUAUCGGGACCUCCAUCUCGGUGGGAUCCGAAAUUUCGAUGCUCUUCUGGUUUGAUCGCUGGCCCGGGGACACUCCCUUUGCAGCUCGCUUCCCCGGCCUCUUCUCUAUCUCCGUCGAUCCCCUGAUUUCUGUUGAUAGGGCCCUUCUUGACUUAGGGCGCCUUGCUUUCCGACGGCCUUUUGGUCCCUUGGAAUCCGCCGCCUGGCGCGAGUUGCUUGACUGUGUUGCUCCCCAUGAGCCAAUGGUGGAUGGUGGCCCGGACCUGGUGCGCUGGCGCCUUGAGUCGUCGAGUCAAUUCUCCACCAAGUCGCUUUACCUGGCCAUUGCCCCAUCUUCCGCCCCCCUUCCCCUCUCGGUGGUAUGGUCCAUCCGCGUACCCCUGAAGAUUCGUAUCUUCAUGUGGAAAUGGAUUCGCGGUCGGGUCCCGUCCGGGGUGGAGGUUCGCAAGCGAAAUGGCCCGGGUACUGGCAUCUGUCCAUUCUGUGGGGUCCCCGAAGACUCGAACCACAUUUUCUUCUCCUGCGUCUCUGCCCAGUUCCUUUGGAGCUGCUUUCGCGAAGCUGUCGGUGGAAAUUGGUGCCACACCAAUUUUCCGGACCUUUUUGUCGAACUCCAGCUGUCCCCCGUGACUUCUCGCCACAUUAGGUGGCUUCAGAUUGGGGUUCUUGCCUGGACCCUCUGGACUGUUUGCAAUAAGCUUGUGAUUCAGCGCACUCCUCUUCGGCGAGCUACUGACGCUCUUUUCAAACUCUCGGGUUUCUUGCAGCUUUGGCGGCCGCUUAGCCGCCCCCCGGACCGCGACGCCAUCUCAGCCUUCAUCGUUGAUCUCCGCUCGAUGGCCAUCCGCCUGUCGCCGCCGCCUCCACCGCCAGCGCCGGAACCAGACUGA
Molecule: ribosomal RNA, 3768 nt
Filed under: Triticum aestivum (bread wheat)
Lineage: Eukaryota; Viridiplantae; Streptophyta; Magnoliopsida; Poales; Poaceae
Description: partial small subunit ribosomal RNA
Source: RNAcentral